This 253-nucleotide ribosomal RNA is filed under the name uncultured bacterium. Its description in RNAcentral is "partial 16S ribosomal RNA". It matches the Rfam family "Bacterial small subunit ribosomal RNA", at positions 524 to 776 of the family's 1533-position model. The record is from RNAcentral.
UACGUAGGGUGCGAGCGUUAAUCGGAAUUACUGGGCGUAAAGCGUGCGCAGGCGGUUCUGAAAGUCAGCUGUGAAAGCCCCGGGCUUAACCUGGGAACUGCAGUUGAAACUACAGGACUAGAAUCUGGCAGAGGGGGGUGGAAUUCCACGUGUAGCAGUGAAAUGCGUAGAGAUGUGGAGGAACACCGAUGGCGAAGGCAGCCCCCUGGGCUGAGAUUGACGCUCAGGCACGAAAGCGUGGGGAGCAAACAGG